Molecule: small nuclear RNA, 107 nt
Filed under: Urocitellus parryii (Arctic ground squirrel)
Lineage: Eukaryota; Metazoa; Chordata; Mammalia; Rodentia; Sciuridae
Source: RNAcentral
GUACUUGCUCUGGCAGCACAUAUACUAAAAUUGGAACAAUAUGGAGAAGAUUAACAUGGCCCCUUUGCAAGGAUGACACAUAAAUUCAUGAAGCGUUCCAUAUUUAA